AUGGUUGUUUGAACCGCAUGGUUCAGACAUAAAAGGUGGCUUCGGCUACCACUUACAGAUGGACCCGCGGCGCAUUAGCUAGUUGGUGAGGUAACGGCUCACCAAGGCGACGAUGCGUAGCCGACCUGAGAGGGUGAUCGGCCACACUGGGACUGAGACACGGCCCAGACUCCUACGGGAGGCAGCAGUAGGGAAUCUUCCGCAAUGGACGAAAGUCUGACGGAGCAACGCCGCGUGAGUGAUGAAGGUUUUCGGAUCGUAAAGCUCUGUUGUUAGGGAAGAACAAGUGCCGUUCAAAUAGGGCGGCACCUUGACGGUACCUAACCAGAAAGCCACGGCUAACUACGUGCCAGCAGCCGCGGUAAUACGUAGGUGGCAAGCGUUGUCCGGAAUUAUUGGGCGUAAAGGGCUCGCAGGCGGUUUCUUAAUUCUGAUGUGAAAGCCCCCGGCUCAACCGGGGAGGGUCAUUGGAAACUGGGGAACUUGAGUGCAGAAGAGGAGAGUGGAAUUCCACGUGUAGCGGUGAAAUGCGUAGAGAUGUGGAGGAACACCAGUGGCGAAGGCGACUCUCUGGUCUGUAACUGACGCUGAGGAGCGAAAGCGUGGGGAGCGAACAGGAUUAGAUACCCUGGUAGUCCACCCGUAAACGAUGAGUGCUAAGUGUUAGGGGGUUUCCGCCCCUUAGUGCUGCAGCUAACGCAUUAAGCACUCCGCCUGGGGAGUACGGUCGCAAGACUGAAACUUCAAAGGAAUUGACGGGGGCCCGCACAAGCGGUGGAGCAUGUGGUUUAAUUCGAAGCAACGCGAAGAACCUUACCAGGUCUUGACAUCCUCUGACAAUCCUAGAGAUAGGACGUCCCCUUCGGGGGCAGAGUGACAGGUGGUGCAUGGUUGUCGUCAGCUCGUGUCGUGAGAUGUUGGGUUAAGUCCCGCAACGAGCGCAACCCUUGAUCUUAGUUGCCAGCAUUCAGUUGGGCACUCUAAGGUGACUGCCGGUGACAAACCGGAGGAAGGUGGGGAGGACGUCAAAUCAUCAUGCCCCUUAUGACCUGGGCUACACACGUGCUACAAUGGACAGAACAAAGGGCAGCGAAACCGCGAGGUUAAGCCAAUCCCACAAAUCUGUUCUCAGUUCGGAUCGCAGUCUGCAACUCGACUGCGUGAAGCUGGAAUCGCUAGUAAUCGCGGAUCAGCAUUCCGCGGUGAAUACGUUCCCGGCCCUUGUACACACCGCCCGUCUCUCCUCGAGAGUUUGUAUCACCCGAAGUCGGUGAUGUAA
This 1279-nucleotide ribosomal RNA is filed under the name Bacillus subtilis. RNAcentral describes it as "bacterial SSU rRNA". It matches the Rfam family "Bacterial small subunit ribosomal RNA", at positions 173 to 1438 of the family's 1533-position model. The record is from RNAcentral. Lineage: Bacteria; Bacillati; Bacillota; Bacilli; Caryophanales; Bacillaceae.